This 468-nucleotide ribosomal RNA is filed under the name uncultured bacterium. RNAcentral's name for it is "partial 16S ribosomal RNA". It matches the Rfam family "Bacterial small subunit ribosomal RNA", at positions 28 to 507 of the family's 1533-position model. The record is from RNAcentral.
GACGAACGCUGGCGGCGUGCUUAACACAUGCCAGUCGAACGGAAAGACCCUGCUUUUGUGGGGUGCUCGAGUGGCGAACGGGUGAGUAACACGUGAGUAACCUGCCCUUGACUUUGGGAUAACUUCAGGAAACUGGGGCUAAUACCGGAUAGGAGCUCCUGCUGCAUGGUGGGGGUUGGAAAGUUUCGGCGGUUGGGGAUGGACUCGCGGCUUAUCAGCUUGUUGGUGGGGUAGUGGCUUACCAAGGCUUUGACGGGUAGCCGGCCUGAGAGGGUGACCGGCCACAUUGGGACUGAGAUACGGACCAGACUCCUACGGGAGGCAGCAGUGGGGAAUAUUGCACAAUGGGCGGAAGCCUGAUGCAGCAACGCCGCGUGCGGGAUGACGGCCUUCGGGUUGUAAACCGCUUUCGCCUGUGACGAAGCGUGAGUGACGGUAAUGGGUAAAGAAGCACCGGCUAACUACGUG